RNAcentral lists this small RNA (853 nucleotides) under uncultured Hypocreales. Its description in RNAcentral is "eukaryotic LSU rRNA". The stretch from base 576 to 853 matches the Rfam family "Eukaryotic large subunit ribosomal RNA", at positions 1 to 281 of the family's 3401-position model. Lineage: Eukaryota; Fungi; Ascomycota; Sordariomycetes; Hypocreales. The record is from RNAcentral.
CUUGGUCAUUUAGAGGAAGUAAAAGUCGUAACAAGGUUUCCGUAGGUGAACCUGCGGAAGGAUCAUUAGUGAAUUAAACAUGCUUGGUGUCUUCGCUUCGGCAAGGCCCUUGCUUAACUCACAUCCCAACACCUGUGAACUGUAAGGCGCAUGACUAGGUUCGCCCAAGUCAUCGUCUGCCCUUUUUAACAAACAAUUAAUGUAACAAACGUAGUCUUAUUAUAACCUAAUAAAACUUUCAACAACGGAUCUCUUGGCUCUCGCAUCGAUGAAGAACGCAGCGAAAUGCGAUAAGUAAUGUGAAUUGCAGAAUUCAGUGAAUCAUCGAAUCUUUGAACGCACAUUGCGCCCGCCAGCAUUCUGGCGGGCAUGCCUGUUCGAGCGUCAUUUCAACCCUCGCAGCCCAUCUGGGCAGCGGUGUUGGGGACCGGCACCACCGGCGAAGCCCUUAGGGACCCAGCCGGCGCCGCCCCCGAAAUACAGUGGCGGUCUCGCUGCAGCCUCCCUUGCGUAGUAGUACACCUCGCACCGGAGCGCAGCGCGGCCACGCCGUAAAACCCCCGACUUUCUGAGUUUGACCUCGAAUCAGGUAGGAAUACCCGCUGAACUUAAGCAUAUCAAUAAGCGGAGGAAAAGAAACCAACAGGGAUUGCCCCAGUAACGGCGAGUGAAGCGGCAACAGCUCAAAUUUGAAAUCUGGUCCCCAGGGCCCGAGUUGUAAUUUGUAGAGGAUGCUCUUGGCGAGGUGCCUUCCGAGUUCCCUGGAACGGGACGCCAUAGAGGGUGAGAGCCCCGUCUGGUUGGAUACCAAGCCUCUGUAAAGCUCCUUCGACGAGUCGAGUUGUUUGGGAAU